GGUAGCAAUACCGCUGACGACCGGCGCACGGGUGAGUAACACGUAUCCAACCUACCAUUCACUCGGGGAUAGCCUUUCGAAAGAAAGAUUAAUACCCGAUAGUAUAGCGAUAAGGCAUCUUAUUGCUAUUAAAGAAUUUCGGUGUUUGAUGGGGAUGCGUUCCAUUAGAUUGUUGGUGAGGUAACGGCUCACCAAGUCUUCGAUGGAUAGGGGUUCUGAGAGGAAGGUCCCCCACAUUGGAACUGAGACACGGUCCAAACUCCUACGGGAGGCAGCAGUGAGGAAUAUUGGUCAAUGGACGAGAGUCUGAACCAGCCAAGUAGCGUGAAGGAUGAAGGCCCUAUGGGUCGUAAACUUCUUUUAUAGGGGAAUAAAGUGCGGAACGUGUUCCGUUUUGUAUGUACCCUACGAAUAAGGAUCGGCUAACUCCGUGCCAGCAGCCGCGGUAAUACGGAGGAUCCGAGCGUUAUCCGGAUUUAUUGGGUUUAAAGGGAGCGUAGGUGGACGUAUAAGUCAGUUGUGAAAGUUUGCGGCUCAACCGUAAAAUUGCAGUUGAUACUGUAUGUCUUGAGUGUACAAGAGGUGGGCGGAAUUCGUGGUGUAGCGGUGAAAUGCUUAGAUAUCACGAAGAACUCCGAUUG
This 641-nucleotide ribosomal RNA is filed under the name uncultured Bacteroides sp. Its description in RNAcentral is "bacterial SSU rRNA". It matches the Rfam family "Bacterial small subunit ribosomal RNA", at positions 75 to 715 of the family's 1533-position model. The record is from RNAcentral. Lineage: Bacteria; Pseudomonadati; Bacteroidota; Bacteroidia; Bacteroidales; Bacteroidaceae.